This 403-nucleotide ribosomal RNA is filed under the name Eumeces algeriensis. Its description in RNAcentral is "partial 12S ribosomal RNA". It matches the Rfam family "Bacterial small subunit ribosomal RNA", at positions 794 to 1400 of the family's 1533-position model. Lineage: Eukaryota; Metazoa; Chordata; Lepidosauria; Squamata; Scincidae. The record is from RNAcentral.
GCCUAGACGUAAACAUAGGUAGACCUAAUACAAUACUGCCCGCCAGAGAACUACAAGCGAAAAACUAGAAACUCUAAGGACUUGGCGGUGCCCCAUACCAGCCUAGAGGAGCCUGUCCUAUAAUCGAUACUCCACGUUAGACCUUACCACUUCUUGCCAACUCAGCCUAUAUACCGCCGUCGCUCAGCCUACCUUAUGAAAGCCCAACAGUAGGCAAAACAGUUAAUAACUAAUACGUCAGGUCAAGGUGUAGCAUAUGAAGCGGGAGAGAUGGGCUACAUUUUCUGUAUCAGAAAACACGGACGCCAUAAUGAAACUUAUGCCAAAAGGCGGAUUUAGCAGUAAGGUAUAUAAGAAACAACACCUUAAACCUGCCCUGGGACGCGCACACACCGCCCGUCAC